This 119-nucleotide ribosomal RNA is filed under the name Neolecta irregularis DAH-3. The record is from RNAcentral. Lineage: Eukaryota; Fungi; Ascomycota; Neolectomycetes; Neolectales; Neolectaceae.
AGAUGCGUUCAUAUCUCCGGCAAAGCACUGCAUCCCGUCCGAUUUGCAAAGUUAAGCCCAGCAAAGCCUGGUUAGUAUUGCGGUGGUUGACCAUGUGCGAAUCCUGGGUAAUGUAUCUU